ACACCGGCUCCAGUCCAGAUCGGAUUACACGUGAAGAUCAGAUGAAUCCUCCACACCAGAGUGGGAGCGGGACCCCCUCCGGCCGGAAGUUGUGAAGCACAACUCUGGUUCCGUGGAUCCAUCCGCAGCGUCGCACACACCCACCGCGGCGGUGGUGAUGAUGAAGAUGAUGAUGCAGGACCCCGCACUCGGCUCUCCCCGCUAGGAUGGUGCACAACGGCGGGGUCUUCCCGCCUCCGGCCGGGGAGAAGAAGCACAAGGUGGGGUUCGUGGGCUUGGACCCGGGAGCCCCGGAGUCCAGCCGUGACGGGGCGCUGCUCAUCGCCGGCGGCUCCGAGAAGCGGGGCAGCAUCCUGUGCAGACCCAGACCCAGCAUCUCUGCCGGCAGACCCCGAGCCUCCAAGAAGAGCGCCAGCUACCGGAGGCUGCAGAAUUUCCUCUACAAUGCACUGGAGCGGCCGCGCGGAUGGGCGUUCGUCUACCACGCUUACGUCUUCCUCCUGGUCUUCUCCUGUCUCAUCCUCUCCGUCUUUGCCACCAUCAAAGAGUUCAAGAACAACUCAGAGAGUGCCUUGUACAUCCUGGAAAUCGUGACCAUCGUGGUGUUCGGGGUGGAGUACAUUGUGAGAAUAUGGGCCGCCGGCUGCUGCUGUCGCUACAGGGGAUGGAGGGGCCGACUGAAGUUUGCCAGAAAGCCUUUUUGUGUCAUAGACAUCAUGGUGCUGAUUGCCUCCGUCUCCGUGCUAGCGGCCGGCUCUCAAGGGAACGUGUUUGCCACCUCAGCAAUCCGGAGUCUGAGGUUCCUGCAGAUCCUUCGUAUGCUGCGAAUGGACCGUCGGGGAGGCACUUGGAAGCUGCUGGGGUCUGUGGUUUACGCUCACAGCAAGGAGCUGAUCACGGCGUGGUACAUCGGGUUCCUGUGUCUCAUCCUGGCCUCUUUCCUGGUCUACUCAGUGGAGAAGGAGUCCAACAGCGAAUUCGAGACGUACGCUGACGCCCUGUGGUGGGGCCUGAUCACGCUGACCACCAUUGGGUACGGUGACAAAGUGCCCCAGACGUGGAACGGACGGCUGCUGGCCGCCACCUUCAGCAUGAUCGGCGUGGCCUUCUUCGCACUUCCCGCUGGAAUCCUGGGUUCUGGCUUUGCCCUGAAGGUCCAAGAGCAGCACAGACAAAAGCACUUUGAGAAGAGACGUAACCCCGCAGCCGGACUGGUGCAGGCGGCGUGGAGGUUCUACGCCACCAACCUUUCCCGCACCGACCUGAUGUCAACCUGGGACUUCUACGAGCAAACGGUGGCUGUUCCCAUGUACAGGAUUAUUCCUCCUCUCAAUCAACUGGACCUGCUGCGAAACCUGAAGGGCAAGUCGUUCAGGAAAGAGUCACAGGCGGAAACGUCGCCCAGUCGGAAGCCGAGUCUGAAGGACAAGGUGUUCCCGAGUCCCUCCAAGCCUCCAGCAGUCAAAAGCAGAGCCCAGUCUCCCGGGACUGAGGAGGCGGCUGAAGCCAGUCCCGGCAAGGUCAGCAAGAGUUGGAGCUUCAACGAGAAGAACCGAGGACCCAAACACGCCUUCAGAGUCCGGGGCAGCGCAGCGCGGCAGAACUCAGAGGCAAUUGAAGGUUUAAUAAAGGCCAGUCUCCCUGGAGAGGAAAUCGGUGACGAUAAAAGUUGCCACUGCGAGUUUCUAACCCAGGAAUUACCAGCCGGGCUCAAGGUCGCUAUCCGGGCCAUCUGCAUCAUGAAGUUCCUGGUGUCCAAGCGGCGGUUCAAAGAGUGCCUGCGGCCGUAUGAUGUCAUGGAUGUGAUCGAGCAGUACUCUGCCGGUCACCUGGACAUGCUGUCCCGCAUUAAGAACCUGCAAUCCAGUGGUCAGGAAACAACAGCAGGUAGUUCUCCAGGAGCCCUCCUGACCAGAGCCACCUCAACUGGCUCCUGUGUGGAGCACCAGAUGUCCUGCUGUGAGUCUAUCUGGAUGAGUGUCAGUCUCCCUGGCAGCUGGGGGAACCCAUGUCUGUCCUGGUCAUGUCCUGCCAGUCACUACAAAGCUGAACAGAGACAAGAGAAGAAGUGCAUCCAAGUCAGGAAGUGAGAAUUGAGGAGAUGAGGCCUGUGAUGGGAGAUCAUCAUGAGAAGGCAAUGGGUGUGGGCGGAUAGAUAUGAUUGUGGGGCCCCCUCCCCCAUCUACACCUCGCCAUAAGAAGUCCACUGAAGGUCCUAGGUUAGCGUUAUACUGCACCCGUAGACCGACCUUUCCUCCAAGCUUGUUAUGGAUGGAACCCCUGAUGAGAGCUGGUCACAUGACCCUCUUCAAAUGAUGCAAUGCAUUUCUGCAAGACUUUAACAAUGCUUCCCAUAACAUUAUGACUGCCUACUUCGUCUCAUCAGUACCUAACCAUUGACAGGGUCUUGGGCUGUCCUGGGUCGCUGAUGGGCAGCUCCAGUAAACAGUGGCAGUGUUUUUUCCUUGCACUGGUUCUUGGACUGAUCCGUCCACGACAGUGGUGGUCAUAAUAUUAUGAGCGAUGUGAGUGAUGUGGCUCCACUCACCAGGGGUUUAGGUGCUGGAUGCUUGGAAAGUCAGAGGGAGUGCUCCCCCUGUAGGACUUGAUGGAAAUGAAAGCAUGAACGCAUGAAGUGAAGUGAUGCAUUUUGAGUCUAGGUCACGCCAUCACCUCCCCCCCAUCACUCACUGGUCUAACUGUGCAUGUGGUGCUCUGACACAGCUCAUGACGAUUUCACUCCUUCAUUCUCUGAUGUCUGAUGGAACAGAGCGAGUUACUGCUGGGUGGUUCAGAGAGACUUUGAGUCACCUGUGGCUGAACUGUGACAUGGUUCUGCCGCAGUUCAUUUAAAUGGAUGCUUUUAUUCACAACAUCUUCAUUGAUGACAUAAAUGUAGUGUUGAACUGUGUCUUGGUGGAACCACCCAGCACUAGUGAUGCUGACACAACUAUCUCUGGCCACUACCAUGUCUUGAGUGAAAUAUGCCCUGCAGCCAGUGGAAUUUUAAAGUCCCUCUCACACUGAUCCAGGUUCAGUCUCUUGUUCUCCCUUUCCUUGGCUGUUCUCUCCAUCUGCUGGCCAUGAACUCAUUUCUAAUGAAGGUGAGAGGAGCGGGAGAAGCUGCUUGUUGGCUUCUGUCCCAGCAGUAGUGUUGCUCACUGCUGCACUGAACACAUAUUCUGAGGACCAGUCUCCCUGAUAUUUCAAACUUCAGAAUAUCAAUUGAAAGGAACCUUUUUUUUCCACUGGCUGCGGAAUACACAGAGCUUCGUUGAAGGUCCUCUGUGGAGUUCACGACAGUAAAAUCAAUGCCCGAAAACAGAUGUGUUUUUCUCAGCCUAAAGUUAGGAAGCACCUGACAUCAGAUCACAUUUCUGCUGUGCAUUCGGCUUCUGGUCAAACUCCACACAGCACCUCGGAUACCACACUCAUGACUCGUAACUUUGCCUUGUCCAUGUCGAACACCAGAGUGGACCAGAUAGUUGGUAAAGGUGCUAAAGUGGAGGGAGAUUUGACAGAGGACCAGAGUAUGAUGGGACGUCUGGUUAAAGUGGAGAAGCAGGUGCUCUGCAUGGACCGAAAGCUGGACUUCCUGGUGCACGUAUACAUUCAGCGUAUGGGGAUCC
Molecule: RNA transcript, 3629 nt
Organism: Synchiropus splendidus (mandarinfish)
Lineage: Eukaryota; Metazoa; Chordata; Actinopteri; Syngnathiformes; Callionymidae
Gene name: potassium voltage-gated channel subfamily KQT member 2-like
Exons: 18
Source: RefSeq, a predicted model, not a curated record